UACGUAGGGGGCAAGCGUUAUCCGGAUUCACUGGGUGUAAAGGGAGCGUAGACGGCGAUGCAAGUCUGAAGUGAAAGGCGGGGGCCCAACCCCCGGACUGCUUUGGAAACUGUAUGGCUGGAGUGCAGGAGAGGUAAGUGGAAUUCCUAGUGUAGCGGUGAAAUGCGUAGAUAUUAGGAGGAACACCAGUGGCGAAGGCGGCUUACUGGACUGUAACUGACGUUGAGGCUCGAAAGCGUGGGGAGCAAACAGG
RNAcentral lists this ribosomal RNA (253 nucleotides) under uncultured bacterium. Its description in RNAcentral is "partial 16S ribosomal RNA". It matches the Rfam family "Bacterial small subunit ribosomal RNA", at positions 524 to 776 of the family's 1533-position model. The record is from RNAcentral.